This 494-nucleotide ribosomal RNA is filed under the name uncultured bacterium. RNAcentral's name for it is "partial 16S ribosomal RNA". It matches the Rfam family "Bacterial small subunit ribosomal RNA", at positions 31 to 507 of the family's 1533-position model. The record is from RNAcentral.
GAACGCUGGCGGCGUGCCUAAUACCUGCCAGUCGAGCGAACAGACGAGGAGCUUGCUCCUCUGACGUUAGCGGCGGACGGGUGAGUAACACGUGGAUAACCUACCUAUAAGACUGGGAUAACUUCGGGAAACCGGAGCUAAUACCGGAUAAUAUAUUGAACCGCAUGGUUCAAUAGUGAAAGACGGUUUUGCUGUCACUUAUAGAUGGAUCCGCGCCGCAUUAGCUAGUUGGUAAGGUAACGGCUUACCAAGGCAACGAUGCGUAGCCGACCUGAGAGGGUGAUCGGCCACACUGGAACUGAGACACGGUCCAGACUCCUACGGGAGGCAGCAGUAGGGAAUCUUCCGCAAUGGGCGAAAGCCUGACGGAGCAACGCCGCGUGAGUGAUGAAGGUCUUCGGAUCGUAAAACUCUGUUAUUAGGGAAGAACAAAUGUGUAAGUAACUAUGCACGUCUUGACGGUACCUAAUCAGAAAGCCACGGCUAACUACGUG